UAGGGAAUCUUCGGCAAUGGACGAAAGUCUGACCGAGCAACGCCGCGUGAGUGAAGAAGGUUUUCGGAUCGUAAAACUCUGUUGUUAGAGAAGAACAAGGACGUUAGUAACUGAACGUCCCCUGACGGUAUCUAACCAGAAAGCCACGACUAACUACGUGCCAGCAGCCGCGGUAAUACGUAGGUGGCAAGCGUUGUCCGGAUUUAUUGGGCGUAAAGCGAGCGCAGGCGGUUUCUUAAGUCUGAUGUGAAAGCCCCCGGCUCAACCGGGGAGGGUCAUUGGAAACUGGGAGACUUGAGUGCAGAAGAGGAGAGUGGAAUUCCAUGUGUAGCGGUGAAAUGCGUAGAUAUAUGGAGGAACACCAGUGGCGAAGGCGGCUCUCUGGUCUGUAACUGACGCUGAGGCUCGAAAGCGUGGGGAGCAAACAGG
Molecule: ribosomal RNA, 429 nt
Filed under: Gemmatimonadota bacterium
Lineage: Bacteria; Pseudomonadati; Gemmatimonadota
Description: Gemmatimonadetes bacterium partial 16S ribosomal RNA
Rfam family: Bacterial small subunit ribosomal RNA
Source: RNAcentral